AUUGAACGCUGGCGGCAGGCUUAACACAUGCAAGUCGAGCGGGGUGAUGGUGCUUGCACUAUCACUUAGCGGCGGACGGGUGAGUAAUGCUUAGGAAUCUGCCUAUUAGUGGGGGACAACAUCUCGAAAGGGAUGCUAAUACCGCAUACGUCCUACGGGAGAAAGCAGGGGAUCACUUGUGACCUUGCGCUAAUAGAUGAGCCUAAGUCGGAUUAGCUAGUUGGUGGGGUAAAGGCCUACCAAGGCGACGAUCUGUAGCGGGUCUGAGAGGAUGAUCCGCCACACUGGGACUGGGACACGGCCCAGACUCCUACGGGAGGCAGCAGUGGGGAAUAUUGGACAAUGGGGGGAACCCUGAUCCAGCCAUGCCGCGUGUGAAGAAGGCCUUAUGGUUGUAAAGCACUUUAAGCGAGGAGGAGGCUCUUUUGGUUAAUGCCCAAGAUGAGUGGACGUUACUCGCAGAAUAAGCACCGGCUAACUCUGUGCCAGCCGCCGCCGUAA
Molecule: ribosomal RNA, 501 nt
Filed under: uncultured bacterium
Lineage: Bacteria
Description: partial 16S ribosomal RNA
Rfam family: Bacterial small subunit ribosomal RNA
Source: RNAcentral